Oryctolagus cuniculus (rabbit) is the source of this 2607-nucleotide non-coding RNA. NCBI's taxonomy places the organism in Eukaryota, Metazoa, Chordata, Mammalia, Lagomorpha, Leporidae. The record is from RefSeq and is a predicted model, not a curated record.
GAAGGCUUGAGCUCGAACCCGUGGCGGCUGCCUGGGGCGGCUUUAAAUGACCCAUUGGCUUCAGAGACGAAAGCAGCACUGGGAUUGCAGUCAGUCCCUCGGAAUGUGGAUAUUUGAAAGAAUCGUAGGAGCAUAUUGUUCAGAAGAUGACUUGUUAAUUUUUAUUCACUGUUCUCAUAGUUCAUUUAAUGGCCUGUUUCUCUGUUUUAGAGGCACAGGAAACUAUGGGCAAUACAAAAUCAGAUCUGGGAAAUACAGAGGCAACCUUCGUUUGUGGGCAACACUUACUUUAGUUCUCCCUUGCCUUCCAUGAGGAAGUGCAAGGUACAUGAUCUUUUGAGUUUUAGGCCCCAGGAACUGCAUUUUUAGGUUGAUUGAGAAUUCUGAAAAGCAAGAGAAAGAUGAAAGCUAUCAGAAGGUAGACUCUCCAUUGCUUUGCAUAUUAGCUAUAUCCCUUGUACAGCUCGCUGAUUGAUACAUGCUAUUUAGUGAUUAGGUAGAGACAUCCAGUUGUACUUGGGUAGCUCUUGUAAUAAAGAGCUGCCUCCUCCCUACUUGGUGCUGCCCGGCAGUCUUAGGCUCAUGCCUGAGUUGCUGUGUUUCUCACUAGUGGUUUCUUGGGAAACACCAACAGUGGCAUAGACACCACCCCUACCCACCCAGUUUUUUCUCGAUGUAGACUUUUUCUUAUCACAAGAAGAAUCAGCAAUGUAUGUUACUGCAUUUUUCCCCCUAGUUGUCAUAUUCUGUUAUUAUGCAAUAAUGAUUGGACAGAGUGGUUAAUCGUAAGAGCCUUUUUAGCAGCAGAACUAGUUUUGGGGGGAAUGAUGGUCAGGACCCUGAGGGCCAGCUCCUGGGGCCCACCCCAAGAGAGCAGUGUAUGAGGGUCAUGUCCUUCUGGGGCUUUGUCUCUCCUGCCCCUUUGGUUGCCCUCUGGCCUGCGAACCUGGAGCUCAUUGUGAGUUCUGUAGCCUGAAGCCAGAAUUCAGAGUGGGUGCUGGUCCCUGUUUAAGCCCACACAGCAGUCAUACCUUCAGGCUCUGGUUAGGGAAGUUAGAACUCAGACAAGAGAAAUGAGCAUUUUUCUUAAGCUCCAAGUUUAAGGGAGGUAGAGGGACCUCUCUGUUCUGCCUCUUGCAGUAGCAGCCUGCGGGGAGAGAGAGUAGGGUGGGGCGGUAGCUGAGAGAAGAAGCGUGCAACUUCUGUCUUUGUAAAGAGCUGUGGAAACUGGUUUUGAGUUUAACUCAGCAGAAGCAGAUGAGGCAGUUGACUGUUAAAUAUCUAUGAGGCUACUUUAAAAUAUUUAUGGAAAAAUGGAUUUUUAAGGUUAUGUUUAUUUUUGGUGCAAAACAUUUCCAAAAAUCCCGUAGUUUUUUUGUAAUAGGCAUUUUUCGUGAUCUUUUUGAAGACACCCCCCCCCACAGUCCUAAACUAGGUGACACUUGCCUUGUGCAUAGAGCUCAAACUCUGUAAAGUCAAACAGAAAUUUUACAAAUGAAACCAAACAGCUUGUGAAACACAAAUUUAGAACACUCAGUUCAAGUCGCAGAGAGGCUUUGCUGAAACCAGCGUGGCGCUCGCUGUAACAGGAGGCUGGCACGGGCCCAGGUGCGCCGCGCGCUGCCCCCUUGUUUUCUCUCUGCAGUAGUGUGAAGCCUGUGCCUUGACUGCUGGGCUUAGCCGUAGUGCAUUAUUUUCAGGCUUCUGCCUCUAAUCAGUAGUGUGCAGCUGGGUGCCAAUGGAAUCAUGGACAAACCAAGCACACGUUUGUACUCAUACUGUAGAUUAUCCAGAAUAUAGAUGCUAUGUUUUUAGUUUUACAGAUUAAAAUGCAAACAUAAGUCUGAUGGAGACGUCUUGAACACUCUAGAAUACAUUCUAAACCCCAUUUUAAGAAAUACUGGUCUUAAAAGAUUUUGACCUUUUGGUAACAAUGAGUUCAUUGCUGUAUGUUUGUUAAAUCAACCAACAGGGGGAGGCACUGUACAGCUCCUUAGAUUUCUCGUUAGUUGGACUUCUGUCUCUUGAGGUCACGGAUUUCCAUCCCUAAGAUGGUAUGGGAAGCUUCGGUUGAGAUGUAGUGACCUGAAGGAGUGAGAAAGUGCCUUAAAAGUGAACCCUGAGAAGUAGUGGAAUGAGUUUUUUUUCAUAUCAAAUAACAGUAGCAGAAGGUAAACUUCUGGCUUUUGGAUGGAGUCUUCAGAGUGAUGAUGUUUGUAAACUGGGCAUUCCAAACAUUUGGGAUUCCACUGAAAGCUAAGUCUGUACUAGUAUUGCGUGAUAUAUGUAAAAUUACAUCAUUAUGUAGGCAUUAGUUAGAAAAUACUUUGGAAAAAAGGAAUGACUUUCAACUUAAGAUAAUCAGUUAAUAAAAGGAAUAUGUGUAAUGAGAAGCCUUUUUUUACCCAUUAGUUUAGUGAUGUUAAGAAAAUAUAUCAUCAGUAGGAAUAAACUGAAAAAAGGAAGACAUGGGAGGAAGAGAGGUAUAAGGUAUGGAGUAAGACUUGCAGGAGAACCGGGGUUUAAUUCUGAUUCCUGUAUCAGUGUGGAGAGGCACAGAGGCCAUCUUGCUCCUGCAGUAAAUUGCUUGACAAAUGUGCCCACCAG